AGCAGCCGCGGUAAUUCCAGCUCCAAUAGCGUAUAUUAAAGUUGUUGCAGUUAAAAAGCUCGUAGUUGAAUUUCGGGGUUCAUACGUUGGUCGGGCUUUUGGUCUGUACUGGCGUAAUGGAUUCCUACCUUCUGAAUAACCGGCAUGCCAUUAAUUUGGUGCGCCGGGGAAGCAGGACUGUUACCUUGAAAAAAUUAGAGUGCUUAAAGCAGGCUAUCGCCUGAAUACAUUAGCAUGGAAUAAUGAAAUAGGACGGCAUGGUUCUAUUUUGUUGGUUUCUAGGAUCACCGUAAUGAUUAAUAGGGAUAGUUGGGGGCAUUAGUAUUCAAUUGUCAGAGGUGAAAUUCUUGGAUUUAUUGAAGACUAACUUCUGCGAAAGCAUUUGCCAAGGAUGUUUUCAUUAAUCAAGAACGAAAGUUAGGGGAUCGAAGACGAUCAGAUACCGUCGUAGCCUUAACCAUAAACUAUGCCGACUAGGGAUCGGACGAUGUUAAUUUUUUAAUGACUCGUUCGGCGCCUU
RNAcentral lists this ribosomal RNA (520 nucleotides) under uncultured Acaulospora. RNAcentral describes it as "SSU rRNA". It matches the Rfam family "Eukaryotic small subunit ribosomal RNA", at positions 569 to 1089 of the family's 1831-position model. Lineage: Eukaryota; Fungi; Glomeromycota; Glomeromycetes; Diversisporales; Acaulosporaceae. The record is from RNAcentral.